GAUGAACGCUAGCUACAGGCUUAACACAUGCAAGUCGCAGGGUAACAUGAGGAAAGCUUGCUUUCCUUGAUGACGACUGGCGCACGGGUGAGUAACGCGUAUCCAACCUUCCCAUAACUACGGGAUAACCCGUUGAAAGACGGCCUAAUACCGUAUGACAUCGUUUGCUGACAUCUAAUAACGAUUAAAGGUUUAGCGGUUAUGGAUGGGGAUGCGUCUGAUUAGCUCGUUGGCGGGGUAACGGCCCACCAAGGCGACGAUCAGUAGGGGUUCUGAGAGGAAGGUCCCCCACAUUGGAACUGAGGCACGGUCCAAACUCCUACGGGAGGCAGCAGUGAGGAAUAUUGGUCAAUGGGCGAGAGCCUGAACCAGCCAAGUAGCGUGCAGGAUGACGGCGCUAUGGGUUGUAAACUGCUUUUAUGUGGGGAUAAAGUGCGUGACGUGUCAUGCAUUGCAGGUACCACAUGAAUAAGGACCGGCUAAUUCCGUG
RNAcentral lists this ribosomal RNA (490 nucleotides) under uncultured bacterium. RNAcentral describes it as "partial 16S ribosomal RNA". It matches the Rfam family "Bacterial small subunit ribosomal RNA", at positions 28 to 507 of the family's 1533-position model. The record is from RNAcentral.